Molecule: microRNA precursor, 67 nt
Filed under: Bombyx mori (domestic silkworm)
Lineage: Eukaryota; Metazoa; Arthropoda; Insecta; Lepidoptera; Bombycidae
Description: mir-2774 microRNA precursor family
Rfam family: mir-2774 microRNA precursor family
Source: Rfam by way of RNAcentral
ACAAUAUUAGGACCGUCGAUCUACUGAGCAAUUUCACACGGUCGGUGGCAGAUUUUCCCUUUAUCAC